UGGAAGCGGCCGCCGGCACCACCCUAUGGCGCCGCUCACCGUCGCGUAGACUCACUGCUCACUAGACUCGUACACGCGCCGAGCGCUUCCAAGUGCCGUUCUGUCUUGCCUGCCUCUUCCCGGCACUUCGCAGCGUCUGCUCAGAAGCGAGGAAGCGGGCGUGAGCUCAGCGCGGGUUUCCGAAGAGGCGAGCGUGGCGAGGACUGCGGGCUGGGCGGCGAAGGCGAGCCCAGAGUUCCCCAGGUGUUUGAGACUGGACGCCCCACAAUCCGUUCCCACUGACCAUGCUAGCUGGGGAUGAUGGAUGUUCUGCACAUCUGGAGAGCACCAGGCGUACUUCCGAGCUCAGAAUCGCGCUGUUCAGGGCAAGCUUAAACUGCGAAGAGAUAGAUCUUUCCCACUGCGUUGCCUCCUGCACCGCUCACAUUCCCUCUGGGAGGCACAUAUCCGAUCAAUCGUCCCUCCGGUUCUCAAAAGCUUUUGCUGCAAUGAAUGAAUGAGCGUGCCAUCCUAUGCGAGCGUGGGCACUUCCUACAACUCCCAGCAAUCUCGUGCGAUCUGGAAAUCCUGGGAAUUGUUUUACUUUUUUGCGAUUUAAACAUUCUUCGAUUUUAACGUGUCGCAAGACUCUUGCUUUUCUCUCUCUCUCUCUUUUGCCCGUAUUGGAAAAAUAAAACAAAUCCAUGCAAUGAGCAUAACUGUGACCGGAUGGCGGCAUGUAUAGAGAAUCAGAAGGUCGCACCUGCAGACGAUUGCCAUGGAGACCCCGUCAUGUCAAAGUCCACCUGCCGAAGUUGGCGCUGGCAAAGGCGCUGCAGGGCUUCGAGGGAGGGCGGGGCUGAGAGUCGGCCCUUCGGAAACGAGGAGUCGGUUGGGUUUGCAAACUGGAUCGGGUCCAGCGGUCAUCCCACCAACCUGCUGAAGCGCAUCCAUGGAGUCCUCUCCCUCAGUGGUCGUCCUCGGCACCCAUUCUAGCAGGACGGAGAUCAGAGGGGUUUGCAAGGCCAUUCCACUGAAAUCUCUCCCCCCACCCUUCCUGUUUCUUUUUCCUUGUGUGUAAUGUCUUUUGGAAGCCUGCAGGCAGGAAUUGUUUUCUGUUACUGAUAAUUUCUUAUCUGCUGAGGGAGACUUCUAGGAUGAAGAACAGCAUAAAAAUACUGUAAAUAAAGGAUUCGUUUUAAGCA
This is a long non-coding RNA of Varanus komodoensis (Komodo dragon), 1184 nucleotides long. RefSeq lists it as uncharacterized. NCBI's taxonomy places the organism in Eukaryota, Metazoa, Chordata, Lepidosauria, Squamata, Varanidae. The record is from RefSeq and is a predicted model, not a curated record. The transcript has 2 exons.